Molecule: unclassified non-coding RNA, 25 nt
Filed under: Mus musculus (house mouse)
Lineage: Eukaryota; Metazoa; Chordata; Mammalia; Rodentia; Muridae
Description: oocyte_clustered_small_RNA3299
Source: RNAcentral
UGCAAAAAUCCGCUGUCCCCCAAAA